AGAGAAUGAUGUUCUUCAGAUGAUUAUCCGACAAGAAAAGUGCGUUCUGAUGCUUGCAUUACAAAUUGUGUACCAAAGUUGAAAAUACCAAUUUUUGAUGACUGCUAGAUGAGUCUCCAGUGGGGUUUCUCAGCGCCUAAACUCUUGGCUUCCCAGUCAACCUAUGAUUCCUUCUAUACCAGAUUAGCCCUGAGCUAACAUCUGCCACCAAUCCUCCUCUUUUUGCUGAAGAAGACUGGCCCUGAGCUAACAUGUGUGCCCAUCUUCCUCUACUUUCUAUGUAGGACGCCUACCACAGCAUGGCUUGCCAAGUGGUGCCGUGUCCGCACCAGGGAUCCGAACUGGCGAACCCCAGGCCUCUAAAGCAGAACGUGCGAACUUAACCGCUGCACCACAGGGCCAGCCCCUGAAUUAACUUUUAGUUUCCUGAUAGGAAUAGAAGUGCACAACUUAGCCACAUUCUUUCCAGCUUCUAGUUCACAUUGUUAUUUUCAAAAUCAUCCUCCCAUCUUCACCCUCACACCCCUAAAUACGUAUGUAACAGAAGCAGUAUAUUUUAACUUUCCCCUUCUGUCAUAUUUUCGUUUCAUCCAAUCUCCGACUCUUGUGUGCAACACUCUCCAAGUUCUGCGCUCAGGGUCUGAUUCUGUUUUAACCACCCACAUCGAGAGAACUCCCUUCUUCCCAUGGCUGUGCUGUUGCCCUCCUUGAGGGAGAGCACACGGACCAUAUGAGGAGCUCAUGCAUGGCGAGCUGACCUGGAGCUCUCUGUAGCUUUCCAGUCCUCCACCCUCAAGACCGUGUGCAUUUUUCUGAAGACUGACGGGACACCAUAGCAGUAAAAGCAGGCAUGGUGACUCAUGUCAGCAGGGAGAGAUUUCUACUAAAUUAAAAAACCAUUGUUAAAGGGAGAUGUUCAUCAACUGAUGCAUGGAUAAACAAUAUGGUGCAUCCAUACAAUGGAAUAUUAUUUGGCCAUAAAAGGAAUGAAGUACUAAUAGAUGCUACAACAUGGGUGGACUUGAAAACAUGCUCAGUGAAGGAAGUCAGUCAUAAAACGAUGGUAUUGUCUGAUUCCAUUUACAUGAAAGGUCUAUAAUAGGCAAAUCCACACAGACACAGAAGGUAGAUGAGUAGUUGCCUAGGGUUGGGGAUGCAUGAGAAAGGUUAGAGCAGAUGACUAAGGGAGGCAGAGCUUUUUAGGAGUGAUGAAAAUGUUCUAAAAUUGAUUAUAAU
This 1236-nucleotide long non-coding RNA is filed under the name Equus caballus (horse). Its description in RNAcentral is "lncRNA (ENSECAG00000051869.1)". Lineage: Eukaryota; Metazoa; Chordata; Mammalia; Perissodactyla; Equidae. The record is from RNAcentral.